This 994-nucleotide long non-coding RNA is filed under the name Dromaius novaehollandiae (emu). Its description in RNAcentral is "lncRNA (ENSDNVG00000016441.1)". The record is from RNAcentral. Lineage: Eukaryota; Metazoa; Chordata; Aves; Casuariiformes; Dromaiidae.
UUGGUCCUGCUUUUGCGUUUGACAGCAUCACCAUUGUAAAAUUACCUUUUCUGUUGAAGCCUUUAGGAUACCUUCAUGAAGGCUUCCAGGGAAUGAAAGGUAUGAUAUGUUUCUAUAACUGAAUAAUCUAAGUGCUAAAGGGAAAUACAGUGAUGGCUGAAAAUCUGCAAAAGGAGUACUUUUCCCUGCACAAACAUGAAAAGGAGGUGUUUUAGACAUCUGCUGAAAAUGAAUGACAGYCUCCCCAGGCGUGCGAGGAAGCCGUGCCUGGGAAACUGCGCUGCUCGAGCCAUUGCUCAAGCCAAUGGGAACCAGCUUGUCCAAGGGGAGGCUGGCAAGGCUGCCGACAGGAGGCUGCCUUGCCACUGCUAACGCUGCGCUCACUGCCUGCAUACAAGACUYGUCUUUCAAUACCUUCCACUCUCAAUGCCUGCCACACUCAGUGCAGUCUGAACCCAAAAUUGAAAGCCUGGUGGUGAUGUGGGGGAGAGGGAGAUGAAGGACAGAGGAUGAGGAUGUUUCUACUAUCAGGAGGGUAUUGUGAAAAAUCCGUCAUGUUGGGUAACUAUAUCCUUAAGGCAAAAUUUGUAUUAUGCAACUGUGAUACAUUCAAGUCUGAACAGCUGGUUCUUGUGAGAGACAGAAGAAAUGAGUUUCCCGUGCAGCUUUUGUAUUAAUAAUUCAUCUCAUUAAGGUGUGGUCUAAUGGCCUUAGCACAGGCCCAGGAGUCAGCCCGAAGAAUGGUUCUCACACCAGCUCCUUCCAUAGGUGUCUGCAACUCUCAUUUCCUCCUUGCCUCCAUUUCCCCAUACGGGAGAGGGAAGAAUUACACUCGCGUUGGUUCAGAUCUGUAAAGCGUUUGGCCUAGUACUCUGUUGCUCUGGACAUUUUUCAGUCUUUUACAAAAGCAUGCAGAGAGCAUAAAAGUCAGUCAUCCUGGACUAGCAUCAUUUUGUGUUUGUUUCAAGGCAUUAGCGAAUCAGGCCCAGGAUGC